This 1562-nucleotide long non-coding RNA is filed under the name Elaeis guineensis (African oil palm). RNAcentral's name for it is "long non-coding RNA (EGUI_LNC002948)". The record is from RNAcentral. Lineage: Eukaryota; Viridiplantae; Streptophyta; Magnoliopsida; Arecales; Arecaceae.
AAAGAAGGAAAUGAAUGUGAUCGAAGGCGUGACGUCCUGCCCUGGCAGGAAAAAGGACGGUAAGUUCAGCCCCCCUUUUUUUCACUUUGAAAAUUUAAAGAAAAAUUUACAUUUACGGCAGCCCUGGCGGGCAUGUAGCACGGCCAUGGCAGCUUCGUAAAAUUGACCUCAUCGAUGGGCGAUUCUUAAGAUUCCCAUUGACAGCUCUGGUACAAAAACGCCUCCGGCCACCACCGACGCCCAUCCCCUUCACUUCUCCUCUGCUCUUCGUCUUCUUCUCUCCAUCGGGAAUGGCUGGCACGUGCCGCCUCCGCGUCCCGGCACGCGUCUGGAUAGCCUCGCUGCCACAGCGCCCCCUCCUCGUCGGCGGUAACCACACCUCCUCCCGCUUCUGUACCCGCUAAUCCCCACGCACGUCUUCGCUGUGGGAAACCCUAAUUCUUCCGGUGACAAACCCUAACCCUAACCUUAGCUUCCCCCAUGGGAAGGUUCGAACUCGACCUCUUCAAACUCCAGCUCAUCUACCACCAUCUGCUCUCUCGAUCCCUCCUCGUCAAGAUCCUCCUCGUCUCCGCCGUGGUCGCCGCGCUCCCCAUCCUCGCCACGUUCCGCGAGAUCGACGCCUGCGACGGUGCCCCCGUCACCAGCGGUGCUUCCCUACCGGCGCCAAUUUUGGAUGCCGUGAUCCUGGAUUUGAUGGGCCGAAAGUGGCUCUGGCGUGGCCACCGUGCCCUCUGCGUUGGCCGCGGCUCCAGCCCGGCCGCCGCCGCCGCGGCGAUGCGGAGGAUGGGGGUUGACGCGGCGGUGGAGGCGAUGGAGGGGUGCGGCGGGCUGCCGUUUAGGCGUGACGCGUUCGACUUCGUGCUGUCCACCGGGCUGGACCGUGCCGGGGCGCCGGCCAGGGUGGUGCUAGAGAUGGAGCGGGUGCUGCGGCCGGGGCGGUGGUGGUGGGCCCGGCUCGGCACGGUGGGUCGUUGAGGGCGGCGGCGCCGGUGGCGGCGCUUUUGAGGGGGUCGGAGGUGGUGGCGGUGCGGGCGCUGAACGGAACCUCGCCGGUGACGGUGGUGGUGUUCAAGAAACGAAGAGGACUUCGUAGCUCGGUGUGAGGGUCGCGGUAGGCGUCGAAAGUUACGACAUUACCCUGGCUUACGCGACGUAUUCCUCUGAUCGUGCGGCGGGCGGAGGCGGAUUAGUGCGUCCGACCGUCCCAAAAUACGGACGCUGUCGUCCUUGCUUAGUGUGCUUUUUUUAAUUAUUUUUUAAAGUCGGAUUAGUUGCCUUGGGCCCUUAGCUGAAGUAAUGGAUCUGAUUUGGUAGCAGCAAGGAUGUGAGGAAUUAUGGCUUAAUAUUUCUUUUAUUAGAAGACAUGAUUCAAGUCUUUCAUAAUCUAGUCUACAUGAACAAAUAAGAGUGGUUCGUAAUAUGAUAAAACAAAAUUAAAAUUUUGUAUAAAAAAUUGUUUAAUUAAUUCAUAAAUAUGAGAGCGUCGGCUAAUUAGUUUAGUAAAGCCUCAUAGGUCUUCGUACUACUAACCCAUUCGACUCCAUUUAAAUACUCAAGCC